UACGGAGGGUGCAAGCGUUAUCCGGAUUCACUGGGUUUAAAGGGAGCGUAGGUGGCUUUGUAAGUCAGUGGUGAAAUAUUGCGGCUCAACCGCAAAACUGCCAUUGAUACUGCUUAGCUUGAAUCACGUCGAGGUGGAUGGAAUAAUACAUGUAGCGGUGAAAAUGCUUAGAUAUGUAUUAGAACACCGAUUGCGAAGGCAGUUCACUAGGCGUGUAUUGACACUGAGGCUCGAAAGCGUGGG
Molecule: ribosomal RNA, 243 nt
Filed under: uncultured bacterium
Lineage: Bacteria
Description: partial 16S ribosomal RNA
Rfam family: Bacterial small subunit ribosomal RNA
Source: RNAcentral